Molecule: ribosomal RNA, 516 nt
Filed under: uncultured bacterium
Lineage: Bacteria
Description: bacterial SSU rRNA
Rfam family: Bacterial small subunit ribosomal RNA
Source: RNAcentral
UAGUCCACGCUGUAAACGAUGAGAACUAACUAUUGCGGGUAUUGACCCCUGCAGUGGUUCAGCUAACGCGUUAAGUUCUCCGCCUGGGGAGUACGGUCGCAAGAUUAAAACUCAAAGGAAUUGACGGGGGCCCGCACAAGCGGUGGAUUAUGUGGUUUAAUUCGAAGCAACGCGCAAAACCUUACCUAGGCUUGAAAUCCAGAGAAGUCGACCCAAAAGUCGAUGUGCCCUUCGGGGAAUUCUGUGACAGGCGCUGCAUGGCUGUCGUCAGCUCGUGUUGUGAAAUGUUGGGUUAAGUCUCGCAACGAGCGCAACCCCUAUUGUUAGUUGCCAGCGAGUAAUGUCGGGGACUCUAACGAGACUGCCCGCGUAAGCGGAGAGGAAGGUGGGGACGACGUCAAAUCAUCAUGGCCUUUAUGCCUAGGGCUACACACGUGCUACAAUGGCAGGUACCAGAGGGUUGCGAAGGGGUGACCUGGAGCUAAUCUCAGAAAGCCUGUCCCAGUUCGGAUUGGG